RNAcentral lists this non-coding RNA (108 nucleotides) under Polytomella parva. The record is from RNAcentral. Lineage: Eukaryota; Viridiplantae; Chlorophyta; Chlorophyceae; Chlamydomonadales; Chlamydomonadaceae.
AGUAAAAAUUAAAUUACUGCCCAAAUUUACUUUUUAUUUUUUGUUUCCUUUUAUUAUAUAUUUUAGCUUGUUUCGCUUUUGUAACUGCUUAAUAAAAAUGCGACUGCU